UCACAGUUGGUGUCCUGCUAUUUUCAAU
Molecule: small RNA, 28 nt
Filed under: Bombyx mori (domestic silkworm)
Lineage: Eukaryota; Metazoa; Arthropoda; Insecta; Lepidoptera; Bombycidae
Description: piRNA piR-bmo-2241977
Source: RNAcentral